RNAcentral lists this ribosomal RNA (460 nucleotides) under uncultured bacterium. Its description in RNAcentral is "partial 16S ribosomal RNA". It matches the Rfam family "Bacterial small subunit ribosomal RNA", at positions 338 to 795 of the family's 1533-position model. The record is from RNAcentral.
CCUACGGGGGGCAGCAGUGAGGAAUAUUGGUCAAUGGGCGCGAGCCUGAACCAGCCAAGUCGCGUGAAGGAUGACUGCCCUACGGGUUGUAAACUUCUUUUAUAAAGGAAUAAAGUGGGGCACGUGUGCCUUUUUGUAUGUACUUUAUGAAUAAGGAUCGGCUAACUCCGUGCCAGCAGCCGCGGUAAUCCGGAGGAUCCGAGCGUUAUCCGGAUUUAUUGGGUUUAAAGGGAGCGUAGAUGGGUUGUUAAGUCAGUUGUGAAAGUUUGCGGCUCAACCGUAAAAUUGCAAUUGAUACUGGCAGCCUUGAGUACAGUUGAGGUAGGCGGAAUGCGUGGUGUAGCGGUGAAAUGCUUAGAUAUCACGAAGAACGCCGAUUGCGAAGGCAGCUUACUAAACUGCCACUGACAUUGAUGCGCGAAAGUGUGGGUAUCAAACAGGAUUAGAUACCCGGGUAGUC